GUCCUUAAUAGUGCAUCAGUUGAAUAAUAGCUAUUUGAUAUAUUUAUUGAACGAGUUUAGAGUAGCUAUUAGAUAUAAAACCUCUAUCGGCUAUCCCAAACCUUUAAUCCAAGCACCACCUAAAACUCAAUAAUUCAGCUUUUUCUUGAUCGAGCUGUUCGUACCUUUUCAUGCUAUGAGUCCUAUUGAUUUAUUGCUGCAUCAGCUGGGAGAAGUCUCUUUUUAGGAUUGCUGAUAUAUUGGUUUACCUUUACUGUAUUUAUUCAUCUUAGCAUUAGUGUCUAGUGGUCUUUGGGUUUUCUUCAGUUCCCUAGUGGCUAUAUUUUGUUAUGUCUUUUUGGCAUUGUGUUCUAGCUCUUGAUCUCUUUAUUAUUCUUGGAUCUUUAAUAUAUCUUUUUGCGUAUAUAAAAUUAAUAAAUCGGCUCAAGGAACAGCAGUCUACUCUACCCAUCCCAAAUACAAGGUCCAAAACCUAAAGAAAAGCCUAGCUUGGUAGCAGAGGUAAUGUGUGCGUACAAGCUUGGUGCAAGCAAAGGAAGUGAGGCCUCAUCCCAGUGCCAUAAAACCCGUAAGGUUAAACUGCUGGAACACCUUCGAAAAAAUCACGGGACAUCAAAUUAGCACCAAAGAGGACAGUGGUGAUAGAGCUUUUCAACGUCUCUCUCAUACCUUCCGGGUCAAUCAUUUAGUCAGGACCUCAAGAGCUACCACCACUAGAAGAGACUUAUCCUCACACCAUGCAAGAAUAGAAGCUCCCGCCAACAACUUCCCAUAAUCACUUGCAAGACAUACAUACUGAGGAAAAAAAGAAAAAAACCAAGCAAUUCACAUAAACUCAAAGUUGCAACUAAAUACUACUAGCAGGUUGAAGAAUAAACCUUAACCUAUAAACGAUACUUGCAAUCAAAGAAGAAAUUGAAAAGUAUAUACAGAACCCACCCAGAGAUGAGGAGGGAGAGUCCACAUUUGAACUAGGGAUGACACCACCAAUGGAGAGGAGUUUUAGAAAAGGUUUCCGUAAAAGGAAUUAAUUAAUCAGAAUGACACCACCAAGAAUAUCAUCAAAUAUACAAUAAGCAAAAUCAAAAUACUUCCAACCAACUUGACAUAACCUAGCUAAUUACCGCCACCGCCCCCACAGCCACCACUUCCACAACCGCCACCUACGCCAUCAUGUCCAACAACUCCUCCAGAAUUAACAUCACUGCUGGCACCCCUCUCAUUGCCCUUUUUCUUGCGAGAUUUGUGAGAGUCGUCAUCAUCAGCACAAGCAAAAUGGAGAGCUGAUGUAAUUGCGAGGGACAUAACAAACAUGAAAAGCAAGAAUAAUAAGGCUUCAGAGAUGUGUGCUUCGUCCUCACUUAACAUAACAACAAACUCUCUUGCCAUUUUUUUUUCUUGUG
This 1403-nucleotide unclassified non-coding RNA is filed under the name Hevea brasiliensis (rubber tree). Lineage: Eukaryota; Viridiplantae; Streptophyta; Magnoliopsida; Malpighiales; Euphorbiaceae. The record is from RNAcentral.